RNAcentral lists this ribosomal RNA (253 nucleotides) under uncultured bacterium. Its description in RNAcentral is "partial 16S ribosomal RNA". It matches the Rfam family "Bacterial small subunit ribosomal RNA", at positions 524 to 776 of the family's 1533-position model. The record is from RNAcentral.
UACGGAGGGUGCAAGCGUUAUCCGGAUUCACUGGGUUUAAAGGGUGCGUAGGAGGGUUGGUAAGUCAGUGGUGAAAUCUCCGAGCUUAACUUGGAAACUGCCGUUGAUACUAUCAAUCUUGAAUAUCGUGGAGGUGAGCGGAAUAUGUCAUGUAGCGGUGAAAUGCUUAGACAUGACAUAGAACACCAAUUGCGAAGGCAGCUCGCUACACGAAUAUUGACUCUGAGGCACGAAAGCGUGGGGAUCAAACAGG